AGAGUUUGAUCAUGGCUCAGAUUGAACGCUGGCGGCAGGCCUAACACAUGCAAGUCGAGCGGUAGCACAGAGAGCUUGCUCUCGGGUGACGAGCGGCGGACGGGUGAGUAAUGUCUGGGAAACUGCCUGAUGGAGGGGGAUAACUACUGGAAACGGUAGCUAAUACCGCAUAACGUCGCAAGACCAAAGUGGGGGACCUUCGGGCCUCAUGCCAUCAGAUGUGCCCAGAUGGGAUUAGCUAGUAGGUGGGGUAACGGCUCACCUAGGCGACGAUCCCUAGCUGGUCUGAGAGGAUGACCAGCCACACUGGAACUGAGACACGGUCCAGACUCCUACGGGAGGCAGCAGUGGGGAAUAUUGCACAAUGGGCGCAAGCCUGAUGCAGCCAUGCCGCGUGUGUGAAGAAGGCCUUCGGGUUGUAAAGCACUUUCAGCGGGGAGGAAGGCGUUAAGGUUAAUAACCUUGGCGAUUGACGUUACCCGCAGAAGAAGCACCGGCUAACUCCGUGCCAGCAGCCGCGGUAAUACGGAGGGUGCAAGCGUUAAUCGGAAUUACUGGGCGUAAAGCGCACGCAGGCGGUCUGUCAAGUCGGAUGUGAAAUCCCCGGGCUUAACCUGGGAACUGCAUUCGAAACUGGCAGGCUAGAGUCUUGUAGAGGGGGGUAGAAUUCCAGGUGUAGCGGUGAAAUGCGUAGAGAUCUGGAGGAAUACCGGUGGCGAAGGCGGCCCCCUGGACAAAGACUGACGCUCAGGUGCGAAAGCGUGGGGAGCAAACAGGAUUAGAUACCCUGGUAGUCCACGCCGUAAACGAUGUCGAUUUGGAGGUUGUGCCCUUGAGGCGUGGCUUCCGGAGCUAACGCGUUAAAUCGACCGCCUGGGGAGUACGGCCGCAAGGUUAAAACUCAAAUGAAUUGACGGGGGCCCGCACAAGCGGUGGAGCAUGUGGUUUAAUUCGAUGCAACGCGAAGAACCUUACCUGGUCUUGACAUCCACAGAACUUUCCAGAGAUGGAUUGGUGCCUUCGGGAACUGUGAGACAGGUGCUGCAUGGCUGUCGUCAGCUCGUGUUGUGAAAUGUUGGGUUAAGUCCCGCAACGAGCGCAACCCUUAUCCUUUGUUGCCAGCGGUCCGGCCGGGAACUCAAAGGAGACUGCCAGUGAUAAACUGGAGGAAGGUGGGGAUGACGUCAAGUCAUCAUGGCCCUUACGACCAGGGCUACACACGUGCUACAAUGGCAUAUACAAAGAGAAGCGACCUCGCGAGAGCAAGCGGACCUCAUAAAGUAUGUCGUAGUCCGGAUUGGAGUCUGCAACUCGACUCCAUGAAGUCGGAAUCGCUAGUAAUCGUAGAUCAGAAUGCUACGGUGAAUACGUUCCCGGGCCUUGUACACACCGCCCGUCACACCAUGGGAGUGGGUUGCAAAAGAAGUAGGUAGCUUAACCUUCGGGAGGGCGCUUACCACUUUGUGAUUCAUGACUGGGGUGAAGUCGUAACAAGGUAACCGUAGGGGAACCUGCGGUUGGAUCACCU
RNAcentral lists this ribosomal RNA (1528 nucleotides) under Klebsiella pneumoniae. RNAcentral describes it as "bacterial SSU rRNA". It matches the Rfam family "Bacterial small subunit ribosomal RNA". Lineage: Bacteria; Pseudomonadati; Pseudomonadota; Gammaproteobacteria; Enterobacterales; Enterobacteriaceae. The record is from RNAcentral. RNAcentral also lists the same sequence under 1 other name.